This 669-nucleotide ribosomal RNA is filed under the name uncultured Chloroflexota bacterium. RNAcentral describes it as "bacterial SSU rRNA". It matches the Rfam family "Bacterial small subunit ribosomal RNA", at positions 69 to 718 of the family's 1533-position model. The record is from RNAcentral. Lineage: Bacteria; Bacillati; Chloroflexota.
CGUCGGGUUAGCAAUAAUUCGGCGGUCCUAGUGGCGCACGGGUGAGUAACACGUGGGUAACCUGCCCUUGAGUUCGGGAUACCCCCUCGAAAGGGGGGCUAAUACCGGAUACGUUCCUCGGAUCGAAAGGUCUGGGGAGGAAAGGUGGCGCAAGCUGCCGCUCUUGGAGGGGCUCGCGGCCUAUCAGCUAGUUGGCGGGGUAAUGGCCCACCAAGGCGAUGACGGGUAGCUGGUCUGAGAGGACGACCAGCCACACGGGGACUGAGACACGGCCCCGACUCCUACGGGAGGCAGCAGUGGGGAAUUUUCCGCAAUGGGCGAAAGCCUGACGGAGUGACGCCGCGUGUGGGACGAAGGCCUUCGGGUCGUAAACCACUGUCAGUGGGAAAGAAGGGUGUCGGCGCGAUAACCGCCGGCAUUUGACGGUACCUGCAGAGGAAGCCCCGGCCAACUCUGUGCCAGCAGCCGCGGUAAGACAGAGGGGGCAAGCGUUGCUCGGAAUUACUGGGCGUAAAGGGCGCGUAGGCGGGAUGGCAAGUCGGUCGUGAAAUCCUUCGGCUCAACCGAAGAACGUCGAUCGAUACUGCUGUUCUAGAGGGUUGCAGAGGAGACUGGAAUUCCCGGUGUAGCGGUGAAAUGUGUAGAGAUCGGGAGGAACACCGGUGGCGA